CACCUCUGAGGGUCACACCUGGAGAGUUUCCAGUACUCUACCAGUCUCGACUGUGGGAGGGAGAGAUGGGCAGAGGGCUACCCAUUCCAUUCCUAGCUUGGCCAGUGGUUAGCGAGUGGAAGACAAUCUGCUAUAAGU
Small nucleolar RNA from Tachyglossus aculeatus (Australian echidna), 138 nucleotides. The record is from RefSeq and is a predicted model, not a curated record. Lineage: Eukaryota; Metazoa; Chordata; Mammalia; Monotremata; Tachyglossidae.